RNAcentral lists this long non-coding RNA (1705 nucleotides) under Monodelphis domestica (gray short-tailed opossum). Its description in RNAcentral is "lncRNA (ENSMODG00000038349.1)". Lineage: Eukaryota; Metazoa; Chordata; Mammalia; Didelphimorphia; Didelphidae. The record is from RNAcentral.
AUGAUUUUUUAUGGUAAUUUGUUUUCGAAAGGAGAAAGAAUGAAGGAAGGAAGGAAGGAAGGAAGGAAGGAAGGAAGGAAGGAAGGAAGGAAGGAAGGAAGGAAGGCAGGGAGGGAAGGAGGGAGGAAGGAAGGAAGGAAGGAAGGAAGGAAGGAAGGAAGGAAGGAAGGAAGGAAGGAAGGAAGGAAGGAAGGAAGGAAGGAAGGAAGGAAGGAAGGAAGGAAGGAAGGCAGGGAGGUAGGGAAGGAGGGAGGAAGGAAGGAAGGAAGGAAGGAAGGAAGGAACGAAGGAAGGAAGGAAGGAACGAAGGACGGAAGGAAGGAAGGAAGGAAGGAAGGAAGGAAGGAAGGAAGGAAGCGAAGGACGCAAGCAAGGAAGGAAGGAAGGAAGGAAGGAAGGAAGGAAGGAAGGAAGGAAGGAAGGAAGGAAGGAAGGAAGGAAGGAAGGAAGGAAGGAAGGAAGGAGGGAAGGAGGGAAGGAGGGAAGGAAGGAGGGAAGGAAGGAGGGAAGGAAGGAGGGAAGGAAAAAAGGGAGGAAUGAAGAGAGAAAGGAAGAAAGGAAGAAAGAGAGAAAAUGAAAAGAGGAAAGAGUGAAAGGAAGGAAAGGGGAAAGCGAAAGGGAGGAGAGAGACUCUAUGAUUCUAUUUUUAGAAGAAAACUCCUAUAGCUCUCCUAUAGCAGCAACCACUGGCAAGCACAGAUAUGGCUUUUGCUCCACAUAAAUAUUCCAAAUGCAUAGUUACUAUGGCAACCUUGGAAUUAUAGAGUAGAGGCUUCAGGGAUGUCAUGGAACAUUUUGCUGUAGAAACCCCACCCCUUAUCCCAGUAACCUGUGGCAGGUAUAUUCAUUUAUAACAUCAAUUAUGUGUGUGUGUGUGUGUGUGGGUAAACAAACAUAAUUGUAGAAGAGCAUUUCAGGGCUAGAAAGGACCUUAGGGACAUUCCAGCUCUACUUCUUCAGAAACCUGGCUCAGUGCUAUUGGUAACCACUACCCCUUAGGAUCAAAUACAAACUCCUUAGUUAGCAUGGCAUACCCUGGAGGUAUGGGUUUGAGGCAGUUGUUCUACGUGGCCAGUAGCAGACUCUGAAGCAGGGUAGGGGAAUGGCAGUCACUUCUAGGGAGUUAGUUUGCCCCAGGUUAGCAUCCUGGGACAAAGCCCCAUUUGCCCUGUAAUAGUUAUGACUGGCAACUUUUUUGAGCCACAGUCACUUUAUUUGUAAAUUAAGGAAGGCUGUACUAGGUGCUUCCUAAGAUUGCUUGUAGAGAUAACUAGGUGGUUCAGUGGAUAGAGCAUCAGGCCUAGAGAUAGGAGGAUCUUGGUUCAAAUUUGAUCUCCUAGUUUUUCUAACUGUGUAACUGUUUGCCUAACACUAGCCCUUCUGUCUUAGAAUUGUUACUAAGAUAGAAAGUAAGGACUUUUAAAAGAAAAAAAAAAGAUCACCUCUAGCUCCACGCCUACAUUCCUAUAGUGUCCCCACUGGAGACUGCUUACCUUUUCAUCUACUUCCAAACCAUAUGACUCAUCUUGACUGACAAUUUGAAAAUAGUUUUUGAGAAGAAAAAUGUAGGAAGGGGAAGGGGAGAAGGGUAGGAAAGGAAGUAGAGACUUGGGAACUCAAAACAUUAAAAAGCAAAGGUUAAAAAUUGUUUUUACAUGUAUUGGGAGAAAAUAAAACAACUUGAAAAAUAAAGGAAAAAUAGUUG